This 468-nucleotide ribosomal RNA is filed under the name uncultured bacterium. RNAcentral's name for it is "partial 16S ribosomal RNA". It matches the Rfam family "Bacterial small subunit ribosomal RNA", at positions 28 to 507 of the family's 1533-position model. The record is from RNAcentral.
GACGAACGCUGGCGGCGUGCUUAACACAUGCAAGUCGAACGGAAAGGCCCUGCUUUUGUGGGGUGCUCGAGUGGCGAACGGGUGAGUAACACGUGAGUAACCUGCCCUUGACUUUGGGAUAACUUCAGGAAACUGGGGCUAAUACCGGAUAGGAGCUCCUGCUGCAUGGUGGGGGUUGGAAAGUUUCGGCGGUUGGGGAUGGACUCGCGGCUUAUCAGCUUGUUGGUGGGGUAGUGGCUUACCAAGGCUUUGACGGGUAGCCGGCCUGAGAGGGUGACCGGCCACAUUGGGACUGAGAUACGGCCCAGACUGCUACGGGAGGCAGCAGUGGGGAAUAUUGCACAAUGGGCGGAAGCCUGAUGCAGCAACGCCGCGUGCGGGAUGACGUCCUUCGGGUGGUAAACCGCUUUCGCCUGUGACGAAGCGUGAGUGACGGUAAUGGGUAAAGAAGCACCGGCUAACUACGUG